Molecule: ribosomal RNA, 450 nt
Filed under: uncultured bacterium
Lineage: Bacteria
Description: bacterial SSU rRNA
Rfam family: Bacterial small subunit ribosomal RNA
Source: RNAcentral
UAGGGAAUAUUGCACAAUGGGGGAAACCCUGAUGCAGCGACGCCGCGUGAGUGAUGAAGGCCUUCGGGUCGUAAAGCUCUGUCGUAUGGGACUAACAAAAUGAAGGUACCAUGCAAGAAAGGAUCGGCUAACUUCGUGCCAGCAGCCGCGGUAAGACGAGGGAUCCUAGCGUUGUUCGGAAUUAUUGGGCGUAAAGCGGGUGUAGGCGGACUUAUAAGUCAGGUGUGAAAUCCCAGGGCUCAACCCUGGAAGUGCACUUGAUACUGCAAGUCUUGAGUGUGGUAGAGGCUAUUAGAAUUCCUGGUGUAGUGGUGAAAUACGUAGAUAUCAGGAGGAAUACCGGAGGCGAAGGCGGAUAGCUGGGCCAACACUGACGCUGAGGUGCGAAAGCGUGGGGAGCAAACAGGAUUAGAUACCCCUGUAGUCCCUGAGCGGGCUGGCAAGGCGCAU